This 460-nucleotide ribosomal RNA is filed under the name uncultured bacterium. RNAcentral's name for it is "partial 16S ribosomal RNA". It matches the Rfam family "Bacterial small subunit ribosomal RNA", at positions 338 to 795 of the family's 1533-position model. The record is from RNAcentral.
CCUACGGGUGGCUGCAGUGAGGAAUAUUGGUCAAUGGACGAGAGCCUGAACCAGCCAAGUAGCGUGAAGGAUGACUGCCCUAUGGGUUGUAAACUUCUUUUAUAUGGGAAUAAAAUGUUCCACGUGUGUGAUUUUGUAUGUACUAUAUGAAUAAGGAUCGGCUAACUCCGUGCCAGCAGCCGCGGUAAUACGGAGGAUCCGAGCGUUAUCCGGAUUUAUUUGGUUUAAAGGGAGCGUAGGUGGAUUGUUAAGUCAGUUGUGAAAGUUUGCGGGUCAACCGUAAAAUUGCAGUUGUAACUGGCAGUCGUGAGUACAGUAGAGGUAGGCGGAAUUCGUGGUGUAGCGGUGAAAGGCUUAGAUAUAACGAAGAACUCCGAUUGCGAAGGCAGUUGACUGGACUGCAACUGACACUGAGGCUCGAAAGUGUGGGUAUCAAACAGGAUUAGAUACCCUUGUAGUC